RNAcentral lists this ribosomal RNA (561 nucleotides) under Proterops sp. QL-2014. Its description in RNAcentral is "12S ribosomal RNA". Lineage: Eukaryota; Metazoa; Arthropoda; Insecta; Hymenoptera; Braconidae. The record is from RNAcentral.
AAAUUAAUUUAUAAUUGUAAUUCACGUUAUGUUAUUUUUUUAUUUAAUAUUAAUAUGUAUUUUUUGGUUAAAUAUAAAUGUAUAAAUUAUAUUAAAUUUUAAAGAUCUUGUAAAAUUUUAAUUUAAACUAGGAUUAGAUACCCUAUUAUAAAUAUUAUAUUAUUUAUAAUUAAGAUAUUAAAUAUUAAUUUAUUAAAUUUAAAUAAUUUGACGGUAUUUUUUUAUUAAAGAAACUUAUUUAUUAAUAUGAUAAUUCACAAUAAAAUUUACUUAAUUUUUAUAUUUAUAUACUUCUGUAUAGAUUUAAUUUUAAAAUUAUUAUCUUAAUAUUUUAUUAAUAAUAAUUCAAGUCAAAGUAUAAUUUAUAAUUAAGAUUAAAUGAGUUGCUAUUUAUUUAUAAUUUAAUAAUAAUUUAAAAUUUUAUUAUUAAUAGAAUUUAAAAGUAAAUUUAAUAAUUAUUUAAAUUGAUUUAAAUAUAAAUAUGUACAUAUUGCCCGUCAUUUUCAAUAUAUUUGAAACAAGUCGUAACAAAGUAAAAUUACUGGAAAGUAAUUUUAGAAU